This 406-nucleotide ribosomal RNA is filed under the name uncultured bacterium. Its description in RNAcentral is "partial 16S ribosomal RNA". It matches the Rfam family "Bacterial small subunit ribosomal RNA", at positions 30 to 526 of the family's 1533-position model. The record is from RNAcentral.
AUUGAACGCUGGCGGCAGGCCUAACACAUGCAAGUCGAACGAGUGGCGGAAGGGUGAGUAAUGUCUGGGCAACUGCCUGAUGGAGGGGGAUAACUACUGGAAACGGUAACUAAUCCCGCAUACCAGCAGAUGUGCCCAGAUGGGUUGAGCUAGUUGGUGGGGUAACGUCUGACCAAGGCGACGAUCCCUAGCUGGUCUGAGAGGAUGACCAGCCACACUGGAACUGAGACACGGUCCAGACCCCUACGGGAGGCAGCAGUGGGGAAUAUUGCACAAUGGGCGCAAGCCUGAUGCAGCCAUGCCGCGUGUAUGAAGAAGGCCUUCGGGGUGUAAAGUACUUUCAGCGGGGAGGCGUUACCCGCAGAAGAAGCACCGGCUAACUCCGUGCCAGCAGCCGCGGUAAUAC